CUGGAAAUUGCAGGAAUACUUUGAGAAGAACAAAGAUGAAGCCUGAAAUUCUAUUGCCAAGGCAAAGGAUGAACAAAGAUCAAAAGAGGUGCAUGAAAGCCACCUUUAAGCCUGUAACAAUUGAACAUCAAAGAAAAUAGAGGGAAAAGGGAACCCUAAUAAAUCAAUUCUAGAAAUUGAAGACCAAAACAGAUAGAUGACGAAGAAAAUAACCUUGAAAUUGCAUCAAUUAUCGGAGAAGACUAAGAAUGAAGAGCCAUGGAAGAAAAAUAGUCCAUCUCCUUCUUCACUUGAUGAGAGUAGGGUGG
Molecule: long non-coding RNA, 308 nt
Filed under: Solanum tuberosum (potato)
Lineage: Eukaryota; Viridiplantae; Streptophyta; Magnoliopsida; Solanales; Solanaceae
Description: long non-coding RNA (STUB_LNC007762)
Source: RNAcentral